GACACAAAUAUGGCAACAAUAGACACUGAGGACUACUACAGGUUGGAGGGUGGCCAGGGAAAUGGUUGAAAAACUAACUAUUGGGUAAUAUCUAUCUCAUUAUCUGAGUGAUAGGAUCACCCCUAAACUUCGGCAUCACACUUAUAACAAAGUAACAAACCUGCACAUGUACCUCCCAAAUGUAAGACAAAAGUUGAAAUUAUGAAAAAUAUUAAAUAAGUUUUUCUUUAUAGACUAUAAGUUCCUUUAUGUGGUCUUGCUUAUUGUUUUUUAAAUUGAAGGUUGAAGUCUUUUGUUUUGUUUAGUAGAACUUCAGUUUAUAGAGCUUCAGAAAAUAAAAUAGUUUUAAUUUCAAUGAUCCCAAGCCAGAAUGGUGGGAACAAAUUGGAAGUGUUAGAAUGUCACAGCCAGAUAUUGGAGAAAACUAAAAAUUUAGAAUUCAGUCCAGAUUUAAAAAAAUAAAAGAAAAGAAACUCAAAACAAUCAACAAGGAUAGAAUUUAAUAACAGGUGCACUACAGUUUUUCUCCUGAAACUUAAUUUUUCCUCUCCAUCCCUCUAUUUUUACCAAAGAUAAACACAGAAAGACUAAUUUGUUUAUAAAGUAAGUUUAGUCUAAUUAACUUGGCCUGAUUAUUUGUAUAAAAUAUAGUAAAAAUAAUUAUUUACCAUAUAAGCUCUUUAGAAGUUGGCUUUGCUGAAACUUUUUAUAAGGAAUCUCAGAUUAGAUUUUUAAAAGCCUCCCAAGGCUUAGGAGCCAAGCCAAGGAUAUCCUCAAAUUCUGUCUGUAAUAUCUGUAUGAAUUGGGUGAAUUCUUCUCUUCUUGAGGUUUUAAAAAUAUCUUUAGAUUGCUGGGUCUGUCAGAAAGUGACAUUCUUGAGCUAGGCAAUGACUUGUACCUGUAAUCCCAACUACUCAGGAAGCUGAGGCAGGAGGAUUGCUUGAGAUUAGGAAUUUGAGACCAACCCAGACAAGAGAGGAAAACCACAUCUCUAAGAUGAAUAAAUAAAUAAAUAAAUAAAUAAGACAUUCUUUACUUACCACAGGGUUACGGAGGGUGUCAGAGAACUGUAUGGACAAGAUACCGGCCAGUUUUUCCUAGAGUCUUUUUAUUGGCUCCAGAAGAGUCAACCAAUUUCCAUUCCUCAAAGCAGUCUAAUCAUAUCUGAAAAUAUGACAUUUCAGUAACAGCCAUGUUAAAAUAACCAGUGUUUUCAAUUGUCCUGUU
Molecule: long non-coding RNA, 1227 nt
Filed under: Pan troglodytes (chimpanzee)
Lineage: Eukaryota; Metazoa; Chordata; Mammalia; Primates; Hominidae
Description: long non-coding RNA NONPTRT011989
Source: RNAcentral